CAUAGGUUAAUGAGGCGAACCGGGGGAACUGAAACAUCUAAGUACCCCGAGGAAAAGAAAUCAACCGAGAUUCCCCCAGUAGCGGCGAGCGAACGGGGAGCAGCCCAGAGCCUGAAUCAGUGUGUGUGUUAGUGGAAGCGUCUGGAAAGGCGCGCGAUACAGGGUGACAGCCCCGUACACAAAAAUGCACAUACUGUGAGCUCGAUGAGUAGGGCGGGACACGUGGUAUCCUGUCUGAAUAUGGGGGGACCAUCCUCCAAGGCUAAAUACUCCUGACUGACCGAUAGUGAACCAGUACCGUGAGGGAAAGGCGAAAAGAACCCCGGCGAGGGGAGUGAAAAAGAACCUGAAACCGUGUACGUACAAGCAGUGGGAGCACGCUUAGGCGUGUGACUGCGUACCUUUUGUAUAAUGGGUCAGCGACUUAUAUUCUGUAGCAAGGUUAACCGAAUAGGGGAGCCGAAGGGAAACCGAGUCUUAACUGGGCGUUAAGUUGCAGGGUAUAGACCCGAAACCCGGUGAUCUAGCCAUGGGCAGGUUGAAGGUUGGGUAACACUAACUGGAGGACCGAACCGACUAAUGUUGAAAAAUUAGCGGAUGACUUGUGGCUGGGGGUGAAAGGCCAAUCAAACCGGGAGAUAGCUGGUUCUCCCCGAAAGCUAUUUAGGUAGCGCCUCGUGAAUUCAUCUCCGGGGGUAGAGCACUGUUUCGGCAAGGGGGUCAUCCCGACUUACCAACCCGAUGCAAACUGCGAAUACCGGAGAAUGUUAUCACGGGAGACACACGGCGGGUGCUAACGUCCGUCGUGAAGAGGGAAACAACCCAGACCGCCAGCUAAGGUCCCAAAGUCAUGGUUAAGUGGGAAACGAUGUGGGAAGGCCCAGACAGCCAGGAUGUUGGCUUAGAAGCAGCCAUCAUUUAAAGAAAGCGUAAUAGCUCACUGGUCGAGUCGGCCUGCGCGGAAGAUGUAACGGGGCUAAACCAUGCACCGAAGCUGCGGCAGCGACGCUGAUGCGUUGUUGGGUAGGGGAGCGUUCUGUAAGCCUGUGAAGGUGUGCUGUGAGGCAUGCUGGAGGUAUCAGAAGUGCGAAUG
Molecule: ribosomal RNA, 1093 nt
Filed under: Escherichia coli
Lineage: Bacteria; Pseudomonadati; Pseudomonadota; Gammaproteobacteria; Enterobacterales; Enterobacteriaceae
Description: partial 23S ribosomal RNA
Rfam family: Bacterial large subunit ribosomal RNA
Source: RNAcentral